This is a long non-coding RNA of Sphaerodactylus townsendi, 334 nucleotides long. RefSeq lists it as uncharacterized. NCBI's taxonomy places the organism in Eukaryota, Metazoa, Chordata, Lepidosauria, Squamata, Sphaerodactylidae. The record is from RefSeq and is a predicted model, not a curated record. The transcript is spliced from 4 exons.
GGCAGAACCCCCCUCGCCCCGUGCUGAGCUCCAGGACACGUGAGCGGGAUGCAGGGGGAGCAGAGGGCAACCUUGGAUGCGCGCCGCCGUUUCCCCGGGAAAAUGCAUGAGAAGCGGCGCUGUCGAAUCCGACACUGCUGAGGCCUUCUCUGCCAUCUUCUUUUUGUCGUGAAGGGAAAAUAUCUGUGAUGCAGCCAGCUCAGGACUUCAGAUUGCCAAACCUGAGCUUAUAUGCUGGCUGGAGGAAGAGGAGGAACUGUUUGUCUGGGACUGUGAUGAACUGGAAGUAUUGACAGCUGGAAGUGUGCAGGAGACAGGGAAUGAAACAAAGAAG